Sus scrofa (pig) is the source of this 3786-nucleotide long non-coding RNA. RefSeq lists it as uncharacterized. The record is from RefSeq and is a predicted model, not a curated record. NCBI's taxonomy places the organism in Eukaryota, Metazoa, Chordata, Mammalia, Artiodactyla, Suidae.
UCAAAGAUUCAGCAGAGGCAGACUUGCUUCUGUGAGCUUUUUUAACAUGUAAGUGACAUUUCCCUGCGUUUAAAUAUGGCUUUGUUAGGCUGUGCCUGCAAUCAGAAUGCAAAAAAAGCCCUGCUGUUAGAACCCGAAACCAAAGAGAAAUAGAUCCUUCUUUAGUUUCACUCUUGAAAUAGGAAGUCAAAGGAAAGCCAGAAUCAGAGAAAUCAAAUUAGAUUUAAAAUUCUUGUGAGCUCUCGGAAUGCAAGAUCAGGAUACACAUUUCGUCCUGAACAACUAAACCAAACAAAGCACGACACCAUUUAAUCAGGCCGUGACGGAUAAGUGGGGCCGUGGAUGUGUGCUGGACUUCGUGGUUUAAGAAAUCGUGUUAGGAAACUAGCUCGGGAAACCAGCUCACCAGGUCCCCGCAUUUCUCAUUUCCAGAGGGCAAGAAUAAUCAAGACCCUGCGGCAGAUGAGGACCGGGCUCUGUAAGUGGACAGACCCCUCAAGGCGGACCUGGGGUUCAAAUAAAGGUCUUCUGACAUCCGCUGCAAUUUAUCAGAAGACUCCCCAACCUUUUCUGGUGAUUUACAAGUCAGAAGGAACCGGUGGGGAGGGAGAAAAAAUCAGAGGAGAAGUGAAGCCUGCACCAUCCCAUUGAUGUCGAGAAACUGCAAUUCCUAUUAAGAACACUUGACUGUUUACUCAGCACGAGAACUUCAGCCUCAGUCUGCAUCAAUCUAAAUGCGUUUCGAGACGUCAGGCCCCCGAAAAGUGCAGACGAGGAGAAGGCUAAUCCACACCAUGGCUACAAAGCAAUGGCUGUUCCCUCCAAAGCUCUGCCAGCUCUAAGAAGGAGCAACCACAGCGAUGGUGGCAAUUGUGGCAUUAAAGACAACAUCCUUCGCUUAUCACAACAGUUUAGAAAGUACCUUUGGGUCUUCAUUAUCUCCAGCGACACGGGGGGAACCGAGGCCAGGGGGGAACCGAGGCCAGGGGAGGAAGAGCGGGUAAUCUCUGCACGGUCCCAUGAAUAAUAACCUGAACUUGGGUUCCGAUCAGGACUUCUGCAUCCGAAUGCAAGGCCACCCAGUGGUUUUCAUGAGGACGUGCUGCUGCUUUCUUUCCUCCUGGGGCCUGGAACCUUGUGAGCCUGAAUCCAGAAACAAACCCCAGCCAAGUUUGUUUUCAUGAAAUUGAAAGCCAAGAAGUCAAGCCCAUGGACUGGCUUCUAGCGAACUGAAUAUUAAAAAGGUAUUACAAGGAGAAUCCACCUGCCUGGCUGAUUGUUUCUUCCCCAAAUGGAUGAGAUGAUGAACGAAUGCUUUCAUUUACAUCAACAAUCAGUUGAAAGGGCUUCGCCAAAUGUGAGCCUUCGUAUUUGAUGACUUCCUGAUUGUAACCAUAAAUAACAAUAUUUUCAUUGUGAGGUAAUAAACAUCAUUACCCCGUGUUUUAGGUGAGUGGGCACUUAUCAGGGAAGGGAGGAGAUAAGGAAGCUAAAGGUGAGUGCACAGCAGGAAGGGAAAAAGAUAACCUUGCAAAUUUAAGGUGUGUAAUAAAUGCCUCUGCCAAGAACCCGUAAUUGGUAAACAAGAUGAGGUUUUUGACUCAUACCAGGUUAACUUGAGCAAAUGAAAUGUGCCAAGGCAGAAACACGAUUUCAUUCACCCUGCGAGCCUGUGUCGAGGCAGCAUGUGUGCCAGGCUCGGUCCCUGAGAGGUGGUCUGGCUGGAUGACAAGAACACACCCAGACGAGCCGUGACAGCGUCACGUGAUGAAAACGCCCAAGCAAAGAAGCCACGUUUCAGUUAGUCUCUUUCGGUGUGGACACUCUCAGGUCCUGCGGUUGGUUUUAUUGCUCUAUUCUUUGGAUUUGUUUUGUCUUUUGGUAGGUUUUAAAAUUCUGGGUUUUAGUUUUGAAUUCUUUCAUUGAGGUCUGACCUACCUUCAUAAGGCUCAUGAAACUUCAGUCCCAAGAUGAUCAUUUUUUAUGUUAUCCAGAGCAAGACACAGAAUCUUCCAGCACUCUACAGGUGGAGUCUUCUUGAUUUUUAAAUGGGAGUCGUGGAAUAAAACAAAUAUUUUAAACCCAAGAGCAAGGUACAUUCUGCAUAAACAUUGGGGAUAAAAUAUCAGAGACAAAAGGAAUAAUGCAUUGGAAAAAUGUCACGUUGGGCAAAUGUCAGCACAGGUGUCAGCACAGACGCACGUGAGUUUAAAACUCAGCAUUGCCAUUUACAAUCUAGGUGUUUCUAGAAAACUUGUCCUACCUCUUUGAGACUCCAAUUCCUCAUCUGCAAAACGCACAUAACAAUACCCUCUUGUGAGGCUGAUAGUGACAGUUCCUCAGGUAACUGUGGCGGCACAUGUGGAACAGGCUGCCUGCACCUUGCCCACCUGAGCUGGUAUUGCGAUGUGUUGUGAUGACAACAAUGAUGCAAAGACUAUACUUGCAGUGAGUCCCCAGUUUGUGUAAACCCCACCCCCCAUAAUGGAUUUACUUGUCAGAAGCAAAUAAAAUUCAUAAAAGAAGAGGGACAACCUGGUGAUGGAUGAGCUUACACUGUGGAGUGAAAAUGCGACAUGGAGACUACGUAGGAAAUCUGGGAUUUGUAGAUGAUAGAUGCCCACCUUCAUAUGUUUUGUCCCAUAACUUCUGUGCUCUUUGCCACCUCAGCCUUUUCAUGCACUGGGAACAAUGGACCUCCCUCUUGACAAGCUGACAUGAGAAUGUGUUUUCAACUGGUUUUCCAACAAGGAGAGGAGAUUCUCAGCUUAGGAAUUUCUCUUUGUUGUUUUGAAUCUCAUCAUGGAUUACUCCCCUGUGAUUGGGUAAUUUUAUAUGUCCACUUGGCUGGGCUAAAGAUGUUUGGUUAAACAUGAUUCAGGAUGCUUCUGUGAGGGUUUUUUUUGGAUGAGACUGGCAUUUAAAUCAGUAGACUUUGAGUAAAACAGAUUACCUUCCACCAUGUGGGUGGGCCCCGUUUAAUCAGUUGAAGGCCUUGAUAGAACAAAGAUUGACCUUCCCUGAGAGAGAAGGAAAUCUGCCACCAGAGGGCCUUUGGACUAGAAUUAUGACUGUUCCCUAGGUCUUCAGCCUACCAACCAACCCUGUAGAUUUUGGAUUUAUUCAACUACCAUGAUCACAUGAGGCACUUCCUUAAAAUAAAUCUUUCUCUCUCUAAAUAAAUGCAACAUCCUGUUCUCUUUCUUUGGAGAAUCCUGACUAACACACCCCCCCAGAAAGGAAGCCAGUCUAAUUUUGUUGGGGUUCAUGAUGCUAGGCAACAACGAUCUCUUUAAAAGCAAAGAAUUUCCUUCAAAAUCCUGAUGGCCUGCGUUGGAGUUGUGGUAUGGACACUUCCCAAUGAUGUGACAGCCUCAGGAAGGUGAUGUAGCCUCUCUGAGCCUCCAGUGAUGGCUGGAGGCAGUGAUAUCCCAGCCUACUUGACAGAAUUCAAUGAUGAGCCAUAUUACAUCCUGGUUGAUGGUGAACACUGUCCAAAUGUUGAUUCCUCUUCCUUCUUCAUUCUAAAAGCAGACCGCUGGGACGAAAGCUCAGCAGUUCCCCCAGCUUUGCAAACUCCAGAACAUUCUUUCCAACAUGGCAGGCGGACAAAGACAAGUCGAUGGGAAGAGUGACUGAAAUACCCAUUCUUUUUUCUUCCUUUAAUUCAAACUUUAUUUGUGCAGUGACGUGUCAUCAGAAAUUGGCCAAACAUUUGAUGGCAAUGAAGGAAUAACAGAAGAAAUAUAAUAAACAAUUGGCGAAAUAAAAUUAAAUAAAAUAUAA